RNAcentral lists this transfer RNA (74 nucleotides) under Marmota monax (woodchuck). RNAcentral's name for it is "tRNA.Ala". It matches the Rfam family "tRNA". Rfam says of the family: Transfer RNA (tRNA) molecules are approximately 80 nucleotides in length. Their secondary structure includes four short double-helical elements and three loops (D, anti-codon, and T loops). The record is from RNAcentral. Lineage: Eukaryota; Metazoa; Chordata; Mammalia; Rodentia; Sciuridae.
UGGAGAUGUAGCUCAAGUGGUAGAGUGCUUGCCUAGCAUGCAUGAGGCCCUGAGUUCUAUUCCCAGCACUACAA